UACGGUGCUGAAGCAACAAAUGCCCUGCUUCCAGGAAAAGCCUCUAAGCAUCAGGUAACACGAAAUCGUACCCCAAACCGACACAGGUGGUCAGGUAGAGAAUACCAAGGCGCUUGAGAGAACUCGGGUGAAGGAACUAGGCAAAAUGGUGCCGUAACUUCGGGAGAAGGCACGCUGACACGUAGGUGAAGUGAUUUACUCAUGGAGCUGAAGUCAGUCGAAGAUACCAGCUGGCUGCAACUGUUUAUUAAAAACACAGCACUGUGCAAACACGAAAGUGGACGUAUACGGUGUGACGCCUGCCCGGUGCCGGAAGGUUAAUUGAUGGGGUCAGCGUAAGCGAAGCUCCUGAUCGAAGCCCCGGUAAACGGCGGCCGUAACUAUAACGGUCCUAAGGUAGCGAAAUUCCUUGUCGGGUAAGUUCCGACCUGCACGAAUGGCGUAAUGAUGGCCAGGCUGUCUCCACCCGAGACUCAGUGAAAUUGAACUCGCUGUGAAGAUGCAGUGUACCCGCGGCAAGACGGAAAGACCCCGUGAACCUUUACUAUAGCUUGACACUGAACAUUGAGCCUUGAUGUGUAGGAUAGGUGGGAGGCUUUGAAGUGUGGACGCCAGUCUGCAUGGAGCCGACCUUGAAAUACCACCCUUUAAUGUUUGAUGUUCUAACGUGGACCCGUAAUCCGGGUUGCGGACAGUGUCUGGUGGGUAGUUUGACUGGGGCGGUCUCCUCCUAAAGAGUAACGGAGGAGCACGAAGGUUGGCUAAUCCUGGUCGGACAUCAGGAGGUUAGUGCAAUGGCAUAAGCCAGCUUGACUGCGAGCGUGACGGCGCGAGCAGGUGCGAAAGCAGGUCAUAGUGAUCCGGUGGUUCUGAAUGGAAGGGCCAUCGCUCAACGGAUAAAAGGUACUCCGGGGAUAACAGGCUGAUACCGCCCAAGAGUUCAUAUCGACGGCGGUGUUUGGCACCUCGAUGUCGGCUCAUCACAUCCUGGGGCUGAAGUAGGUCCCAAGGGUAUGGCUGUUCGCCAUUUAAAGUGGUACGCGAGCUGGGUUUAGAACGUCGUGAGACAGUUCGGUCCCUAUCUGCCGUGGGCGCUGGAGAACUGAGGGGGGCUGCUCCUAGUACGAGAGGACCGGAGUGGACGCAUCACUGGUGUUCGGGUUGUCAUGCCAAUGGCACUGCCCGGUAGCUAAAUGCGGAAGAGAUAAGUGCUGAAAGCAUCUAAGCACGAAACUUGCCCCGA
RNAcentral lists this ribosomal RNA (1243 nucleotides) under Salmonella enterica. RNAcentral describes it as "partial 23S ribosomal RNA". It matches the Rfam family "Bacterial large subunit ribosomal RNA", at positions 1578 to 2802 of the family's 2925-position model. RNAcentral also lists the same sequence under 1 other name. Lineage: Bacteria; Pseudomonadati; Pseudomonadota; Gammaproteobacteria; Enterobacterales; Enterobacteriaceae. The record is from RNAcentral.